Molecule: ribosomal RNA, 484 nt
Filed under: uncultured bacterium
Lineage: Bacteria
Description: partial 16S ribosomal RNA
Rfam family: Bacterial small subunit ribosomal RNA
Source: RNAcentral
AUUGAACGCUGGCGGCAGGCCUAACACAUGCAAGUCGAGCGGAUGAAGGGGGCUUGCUCCUGGAUUCAGCGGCGGACGGGUGAGUAAUGCCUAGGAAUCUGCCUGGCAGUGGGGGAUAACGUCAGGACACGGGCGCUAAUACCGCAUACGUCCUGAGGGAGAAAGUGGGGGAUCUUCGGACCUCACGCUAUCAGAUGAGCCUAGGUCGGAUUAGCUAGUUGGUGGGGUAAAGGCCUACCAAGGCGACGAUCCGUAACUGGUCUGAGAGGAUGAUCAGUCACACUGGAACUGAGACACGGUCCAGACUCCUACGGGAGGCAGCAGUGGGGAAUAUUGGACAAUGGGCGAAAGCCUGAUCCAGCCAUGCCGCGUGUGUGAAGAAGGUCUUCGGAUUGUAAAGCACUUUAAGUUGGGAGGAAGGGCAGUAAGUUAAUACCUUGCUGUUUUGACGUUACCAACAGAAUAAGCACCGGCUAACUUCGUG